This 60-nucleotide transfer RNA is filed under the name Ictidomys tridecemlineatus (thirteen-lined ground squirrel). RNAcentral's name for it is "Spermophilus tridecemlineatus (thirteen-lined ground squirrel) tRNA". It matches the Rfam family "tRNA", at positions 6 to 65 of the family's 71-position model. From Rfam's summary of the family: Transfer RNA (tRNA) molecules are approximately 80 nucleotides in length. Their secondary structure includes four short double-helical elements and three loops (D, anti-codon, and T loops). Lineage: Eukaryota; Metazoa; Chordata; Mammalia; Rodentia; Sciuridae. The record is from Rfam by way of RNAcentral.
UGUAGUUCAGUGGUAGAGCGCAUGCCUAGAACGCAUGAGCACUGGGUUCGAUCCUCAGCA